Molecule: ribosomal RNA, 424 nt
Filed under: uncultured delta proteobacterium
Lineage: Bacteria; Deltaproteobacteria
Description: bacterial SSU rRNA
Rfam family: Bacterial small subunit ribosomal RNA
Source: RNAcentral
UUGGGUUAAGUCCCGCAACGAGCGCAACCCUAUUGUUAGUUGCCAUCACAUAAUGGUGGGCACUCUAAUGAGACUGCCCGGGUCAACCGGGAGGAAGGUGGGGACGACGUCAAGUCAUCAUGGACCUUACGCCUAGGGCUACACACGUACUACAAUGGUGCAUACAACGGGUUGCGAAACCGCGAGGUCAAGCCAAUCCCAAAAAAUGCAUCCCAGUCCGGAUCGGAGUCUGCAACUCGACUCCGUGAAGUUGGAAUCGCUAGUAAUCCCGGAUCAGCAUGCCGGGGUGAAUACGUUCCCGGGCCUUGUACACACCGCCCGUCACACCACGAAAGCUGGUUCUACCCGACAACGGCGGACUAACCCUUCGGGAGGUAGUCGUCUACGGUAGGGCUGGUGAUUGGGGUGAAGUCAUAACAAGGUA